AAAAAAAAAAAAAUCAUUUUUUGAACAAUCAUCAAUUUCUUUGUAAAAUUUUAAAAUCUUAAGGGCUUAGCACCCUUGGCCCUUGCCUAAAUCCGUCCCUGAGUAACCUAUAACUAAAUGUUAACCAGAGAAUAAAUAAAGAAAGAAAAUAAAAUUUAAAUUUUCAGAAGUAAAUAGCUUAAAUGAUUUAUGAAGCUAAAAAUAACUUAAAUGGCUCACAAGCCAUUAAUGGCUAAUAAAAUUAAAAUGUAUGAGUUGG
This 259-nucleotide unclassified non-coding RNA is filed under the name Hevea brasiliensis (rubber tree). Lineage: Eukaryota; Viridiplantae; Streptophyta; Magnoliopsida; Malpighiales; Euphorbiaceae. The record is from RNAcentral.